RNAcentral lists this transfer RNA (72 nucleotides) under Camelus bactrianus (Bactrian camel). It matches the Rfam family "tRNA". From Rfam's summary of the family: Transfer RNA (tRNA) molecules are approximately 80 nucleotides in length. Their secondary structure includes four short double-helical elements and three loops (D, anti-codon, and T loops). Further hydrogen bonds mediate the characteristic L-shaped molecular structure. tRNAs have two regions of fundamental functional importance: the anti-codon, which is responsible for specific mRNA codon recognition, and the 3' end, to which the tRNAs corresponding amino acid is attached (by aminoacyl-tRNA synthetases). tRNAs cope with the degeneracy of the genetic code in two manners: having more than one tRNA (with a specific anti-codon) for a particular amino acid; and 'wobble' base-pairing, i.e. permitting non-standard base-pairing at the 3rd anti-codon position. RNAcentral also lists the same sequence under 2 other names. The record is from Rfam by way of RNAcentral. Lineage: Eukaryota; Metazoa; Chordata; Mammalia; Artiodactyla; Camelidae.
GAGGGUAUAGCUCAGUGACAGGGUGAGUGCUUAGCAUGCAUGAGGUCCUGGGUUCACUCUCCAGUACCUUCA